Non-coding RNA from Vicugna pacos (alpaca), 934 nucleotides. NCBI's taxonomy places the organism in Eukaryota, Metazoa, Chordata, Mammalia, Artiodactyla, Camelidae. The record is from RefSeq and is a predicted model, not a curated record.
GCCUCCAUUUACUCUUCCAACAGAUACCCAACAGAGGCCGGCCACAGGCUUGGCCUUGCGCCCAGCAGUGAAGACACACCGAGAUGGGCAGUCCCUGACCUCGGGUGAGCGCGAACAGACACAUAGUAUGUGAAUCCUUGAGCAGGUACACGUUACUUUCAUCAUUUUGAAAAGAAGGACGCAGGUGGCUGGCGGCACCAGAUGCUGCGGAGUGCCACCGCAGCCACACCUGCCUCUCCAUCCUACCCCGGCCUGCGGUCUCACACGUGUAGGGAACCUUGCUUCCUGAGAGCGCAUCAAAAACCAGCAACAGGAGUGUGGACAAAACAAAAACAAAACACAAGGACUUGGGGGGAGGGCCUAGCUCAAGUGGUAGAGCUGCAUGCUUAGCACGCACGAGGUCCAUCCCCAGUGCCGCCUCUAAAUAUAACAAAUAAAUAAUAAGCCUAAUAACCUCCUCCCCCCAAAACACAGGGGCUGUAUCAAGAACAAAAUAAAGUCAGGAGGUCAGCGUUUAGAGGGCCACGGAUGUAGCUAUUAAAGUUCACCACGGCCCGAGUGCAUGUGUGCCAGGGGCGCUGGCUUGGAGCCUCCAAGGCCAGCAGAGUGCGGCCUCGUAGUGACCUGCAGUCUGCAGUGUCUAGUCUUCGGGUGGCAGUUGGACUUGGGUGGAAAGGGCGGCUGGGGAGGACAGCGGCUCAUUCAAACCCACCUGUCAGCGUGAGCAGCGUAAUGGCCGGACCCAGAAGAGGCAUCAAACAGGAGGAAAGGCGAUCUCUCUCCGGGUCAGCUGAGGGGCACUGCCAAGGUGUUACCAAGCCCAGGAAGAAGCUCCGAGGACUCGGCCAGUGGCCGGGGCGGGGGGUGGGGGGCACGCACAACACUGGAGGAGGAGAGGCAGGCCUGUUCGUUGUUCGGUCGCUGCCCAGGAAAC